CCCUACGGGAGGCAGCAGUGGGGAAUAUUCCACAAUGGGCGAAAGCCUGAUGGAGCAACGCCGCGUGGGUGAAGAAGGUCUUCGGAUCGUAAAACUCUGUUGUUAGAGAAGAAAGUGCGUGAGAGUAACUGUUCACGUUUCGACGGUAUCUAACCAGAAAGCCACGGCUAACUACGUGCCAGCAGCCGCGGUAAUACGUAGGUGGCAAGCGUUAUCCGGAUUUAUUGGGCGUAAAGGGAACGCAGGCGGUCUUUUAAGUCUGAUGUGAAAGCCUUCGGCUUAACCGGAGUAGUGCAUUGGAAACU
This 305-nucleotide ribosomal RNA is filed under the name uncultured bacterium. RNAcentral describes it as "bacterial SSU rRNA". It matches the Rfam family "Bacterial small subunit ribosomal RNA", at positions 337 to 634 of the family's 1533-position model. The record is from RNAcentral.